CGUAAGCUUCUGGCUUCUAGCAACUAGAAAUUUUUAUUUAUUUAUUUUAUUUCGUUGAUCAUUCAGACAGGCUAUAUACCACAGUAUUUGAAGUAGCCUUUUGUUGGAGCUAUUGCAUAUAAAAAUCUGGCAUCAAAACUCAGUAGGAUCACAGAGAGAAGCAACUGGAUUCAGAGAGCUGUGAAGAAAAUCAGUGAGAAGUUCUUCAUUUAACUCUGAUCAUUGCUCUAGUGGGUUCUGGUUUCAUGCCAAAUACCAUGCUUACACUUGCCUGGCUCCAUCUCCUACCAUCAGAAGGCUGUGACCAUAAGAUGUGCAGCUCGAAAAGGGAGAGGAUCGUGAGCAAAGGAGAAUACGGGCCAAAAAUCCAUAAUGUUCUUAGAAUUUCAAAGAGGAUUGAAGUUAGUGUCAGAGAAGAAAACAUUGAUCCUUUUGGCUUUAAUGCUGUUGAAGAUAAUAAAGACAGCAAAAAGGAUGAUGCUUCAGCUCUAGUCAGAGGCCACUGAUAAAUUACUUUAGUAAAGCUAAUGUUAUGUGAUCACUUUUCUCUGUUUUCCUUUUUAAUAUUAUUUUGUACUUUAUUCAACUUGGAUUGCUCGUUGAACCGAUUCGGUAUAAUCCAUUCAAUCCAGCCAGGUUUUUAAAAGAUAGGAGGGCCCGGCUUUAGAUUGGAUUUUUUUUUGGGUUUGAUCUCCCAAUUGAGAGCUUAAAUUUUAUCCAUUUAUCAAUAAAUUACAAAAAAAAAUGAUGUUUUUACCA
Long non-coding RNA from Populus trichocarpa (black cottonwood), 759 nucleotides. RefSeq lists it as uncharacterized. The transcript has 2 exons. Lineage: Eukaryota; Viridiplantae; Streptophyta; Magnoliopsida; Malpighiales; Salicaceae. The record is from RefSeq and is a predicted model, not a curated record.